GCUGGGCAUGGUGGUGCAUGCCUGUAAUCCCAGCUAUUUGGGAGGCUGAGGCAGGAGAAUUGCUUGAACCCAGGAGGCAGAGGUUGCAGUGAGCCAAGAUCACACCACUGCACUCCAGCCUGGGCAACAGAGCAAGACUCUGUCUCAA
RNAcentral lists this non-coding RNA (148 nucleotides) under Homo sapiens (human). The record is from Rfam by way of RNAcentral. Lineage: Eukaryota; Metazoa; Chordata; Mammalia; Primates; Hominidae.